UGUAAAAAAUUUCCGUAAUUUCACAGCAAAAACCUACGUAAAAUUUACGUAGACCAUUCUGUUUUAUGAAAAACGGCGGGAUUCUACGUAAAAAAGACGGACGUGAGCUCCGUUUAUGAAAAACGGCGGGAUUCUACGUAAAAAAGACGGACGUGAGCUCCGUUUUUGAAAUACGGAGAGCCGUCCGUAAUUUCAUGAGGAGGGCAACUGAACAUGUUACUAGUGAAAAAUGAACACGCAAAGAAUAUAACGAAAAGACACUGUCUACUCUCACUGCCAGUUACAUAUAUCACCAUAGAUAACGCUGUUUGAACAUUAUUUGCGUGCGAGCAUAGUAAACACACAAAAAGAAGCAGGUAGGGUUUGAGCGGUGGCGCUGCUUACCACCCCUUCAUCGCGCCUACACGCUGGGUUGGAUUCCUCCAGCACAAACAACUGUACGAGUACUCGCUAAUGGCGGACGGUGGAGGUGGUGUUCCUGUCGCAUUUGUGAUUUCACACUAAAUAGGAAGGAAUCGGCGCUGGAUUGUUACACAACUGUUGCACCAGUGAAGGAUGUCUGUGUGCCGCCUUGCAUUCAGUUUCUCAGUCAUGGGGGGCCUGCUUGCAACACCAGUGGUAAUGCAGUCUUGCAUUGUGCUAUUUGUUCUGGAAGGACACAAGCAUUGAGGAGCCAUUUGACCUGCCACUACACUGAUACGGUAUUUGGUAGGUUCUAUUACAGGUUUUCUUUCGUGUAGUAGUACCUGCUAUAAUUCUGUAUAACGUGUUCAGACCUUUAGUCAGCAGGCUGUUUGACAACAGGUAUUUACAAAUGAAUAACUAACAAGAUUUUCAAGGUCAUUAGUGAUACAAUCGUUGCACACUGCUGCAUUUUUCUGCAAAUUAAUUGAUGAGCCAUCCAGCAAGUGCUGCUCUCCUGCCUUAAUGCACAAACCUUCAAAUACUGUUAACCCUAUAUCACAAGUGUACAGCAAAUGGAGAUGACUGUUCACAGCGACAAGUUCAUAAUGUUUACUUACAUGCAAAAGGGAGUCAAACGUCAGGUACACAUUUGAAGUUUUCCAAAACAAGUUCGUCAUCAUAGUGCAUAAAUGAACAAGUAACUUAGCGCAAUAAAAAUACACAGGCACAAGAAAGGGAGACAAAGACAAGCGCUUGGUGACUCAGAAGUGUGUGACAUAUAUGUUCCAACCAAUUAUUAUUUUCUAAAUUUUCUUCUACUGAUCCAGGAUUCCUAUGACUACUUGCCUUAGGUAACAUACUCUGUUGCCUUCUUGCCCUAGAAAACAUAACUAGUGCCUUCUUGCAGCCCUUUAAACUGGCAACAUCUUCACCACCGACAGUAGAGCAUGUUCAGAUAAAUUCAACUAGACAUGCCUGGUGACCACUUAAUUUUGGUGAACAAAUUUUAUUUUGUGCCCGAGCCUGACAAUGAAAUCAAUGAUAUCUUCUAUUUUGUUGUAGCGCAAGCUGAACGACAAGGACAACAGAAAGGCAAAUUUGAGGCACAGCCAGCGCUAACGUUCAACAACAGAUUCGUUUCCAGUUCUCAUCACUAUAUAUACCCUGAAAACGUCAUACAACACGUGUAAAAGCUCGGUAAACAUGAACUAAAAAAAAACGGGAACCACACGCAUGCAGUUUUUUAGCCACAUAGAUUGACAGACAUGUAGACGUUUAACGCGAACAAAGAUCGCAUCAUCUUCCACCUGCUUCUACUCAUGAUAACUGUUUUUUUUUAAUCUAGGUUUGCGCUUGCAUCUUUGGCAAUGAAGGGCAAGAAAACCAUCAGCAGCCAGGUAUUUACUUUGUUAUUGUGUUCUCGUAGCCUGUCAUUUACACAUCUACCAGUUUGACCAAUGUAGGACCGUCCACACUCAAAGGAAUGUCGUAUAAAACACACGUGAUGCAAUCAAUGAAUUUGUUUUUAUGUUCAUUUUCGCAUGCAGUAUCCGCAAUUCUUUCUGGCUUUGUCUUCCUUCACAG
Molecule: long non-coding RNA, 1989 nt
Organism: Dermacentor silvarum
Lineage: Eukaryota; Metazoa; Arthropoda; Arachnida; Ixodida; Ixodidae
Exons: 3
Source: RefSeq, a predicted model, not a curated record